GAUAGUUACCUGGUUGAUUCUGCCAGUAGUCAUAUGCUUGUCUCAAAGAUUAAGCCAUGCAUGUCUAAGUAUAAGCAACUAUACGGUGAAACUGCGAAUGGCUCAUUAUAUCAGUUAUCGUUUAUUUGAUAGUACCUUACUACAUGGGAUAACCGUGGUAAUUCUAGAGCUAAUACAUGCUAAAAACCUCGACUUCGGAAGGGGUGUAUUUAUUAGAUAAAAAACCAAUGCCCUUCGGGGCUCCUUGGUGAUUCAUAAUAACUUAACGAAUCGCAUGGCCUUGCGCCGGCGAUGGUUCAUUCAAAUUUCUGCCCUAUCAACUUUCGAUGGUACUUUAGUGGCUACCAUGGUUUCUACGGGUAACGGGGAAUUAGGGUUCGACUCCGGAGAGGGAGCCUGAGAAACGGCUACCACAUCCAAGGAAGGCAGCAGGCGCGCAAAUUACCCAAUCCCGAUUCGGGGAGGUAGUGACAAUAAAUACUGAUAGGGAGCUCUUUUGGGUUUCCUAAUCGGAAUGAGUACAAUUUAAAUCCCUUAACGAGGAACAAUUGGAGGGCAAGUCUGGUGCCAGCAGCCGCGGUAAUUCCAGCUCCAAUAGCGUAUAUUAAAGUUGUUGCAGUUAAAAAGCUCGUAGUUGAAACUUGGGUCUGGCUGUCCGGUCCGCCUCACCGCGUGCACUGGUUCGGCCGGACCUUUCCUUCUGGGGAGCCGCAUGCCCUUUAUUGGGUGUGCCGGGGAACCAGGACUUUUACUUUGAAAAAAUUAGAGUGUUCAAAGCAGGCAUAUGCUCGAAUACAUUAGCAUGGAAUAAUAGAAUAGGACGUGUGGUUCUAUUUUGUUGGUUUCUAGGACCGCCGUAAUGAUUAAUAGGGAUAGUCGGGGGCAUCUGGUAAGUUUUUUCGCGUGAUUUAUGAGUGAAGUAUUGCUAACGUCUAUUGCAGUAUUUUCCAGCAAGAGGUGAAAUUCUUGGAUUUGGAAAAGACAAACUACUGCGAAAGCAUUUGCCAAGGAUGUUUUCAUUAAUCAGGGAACGAAAGUUAGGGGAUCGAAGACGAUCAGAUACCGUCGUAGUCUUAACCAUAAACUAUGCCGACUAGGGAUCGGACGGUGUUAUUAUUUUGACCCGUUCGGCACCUUACGAGAAAUCAAAGUUUUUGGGUUCUGGGGGGAGUAUGGUCGCAAGGCUGAAACUUAAAGACAUUGACGGAAGGGCACCACCAGGCGUGGAGCCUGCGGCUUAAUUUGACUCAACACGGGGAAACUCACCAGGUCCAGAUUUGAUAAGGAUUGACAGAUUGAGAGCUCUUUCUUGAUUUCAAAGGUGGUGGUGCAUGGCCGUUCUUAGUUGGUGGAGUGAUUUGUCUGCUUAAUUGCGAUAACGAACGAGACCUUAACCUGCUAAAUAGCCAGGUCAGCUUUGGCUGGCCGCAGGCUUCUUAGAGGGACUAUCGGCUCAAGCCGAUGGAAGUUUGAGGCAAUAACAGGUCUGUGAUGCCCUUUAGAUGUUCUGGGCCGCACGCGCGCUACACUGACAGAGACAACGAGUUCAUCUCCUUGGCCGGAAGGUCUGGGUAAUCUUGUUAAACUCUGUCGUGCUGGGGAUAGAGCAUUGCAAUUAUUGCUCUUCAACGAGGAAUGCCUAGUAAGCGCAAGUCAUCAGCUUGCGUUGAUUACGUCCCUGCCCUUUGUACACACCGCCCGUCGCUACUACCGAUUGAAUGGCUCAGUGAGGCCUUCGGACUGGCCCCAGGAGGUCGGCAACGACCACCCAGGGCCGGAAAGUUGGUCAAACUUGGUCAUUUAGAGGAAGUAAAAGUCGUAACAAGGUUUCCGUAGGUGAUGCGGAACCUGCGGAAGGAUCAUUA
RNAcentral lists this ribosomal RNA (1865 nucleotides) under Heterodermia casarettiana. Its description in RNAcentral is "SSU rRNA". It matches the Rfam family "Eukaryotic small subunit ribosomal RNA". The record is from RNAcentral. Lineage: Eukaryota; Fungi; Ascomycota; Lecanoromycetes; Caliciales; Physciaceae.